CGCCUUUAUUGCCAUAAGCGAGGUAUAGAGUUCCUACGUUCCUUUUCCAAUUCGUAGGAACUUAAUACCGUGCUCUUGGAGGGCUGUU
Molecule: microRNA precursor, 88 nt
Filed under: Musca domestica (house fly)
Lineage: Eukaryota; Metazoa; Arthropoda; Insecta; Diptera; Muscidae
Description: mir-276 microRNA precursor family
Rfam family: mir-276 microRNA precursor family
Source: Rfam by way of RNAcentral